GGAUGAGAGGGUGAUCUGUCUGAGACAUAUGUCACCCCAUUGAUCGCCAAGGUUGAUUCGGCUGAUCUGGCUGGCUAGGCGGGUGUCCCCUUCCUCCCUGACCUCUCCAUGUGAGUCCCUCCUGAAGCUGUGUGUUCAGUCGAAGAGGACGGUCUUCCCCAAAUAGAGCUGGACUUGUCUUCGUUCUUAGCCUUCGUUCUUAACCUCCAAACAAGCUCUCAAAGAAAGUAUCCAAGAGGCCGGAGCGAUAGCGCAGCGGGUAGGGCGUUUGCCUUGCAUGCUGCCGACUC
Molecule: small nuclear RNA, 290 nt
Filed under: Sorex araneus (European shrew)
Lineage: Eukaryota; Metazoa; Chordata; Mammalia; Eulipotyphla; Soricidae
Description: 7SK RNA (ENSSARG00000017759.1)
Rfam family: 7SK RNA
About the family: 7SK was discovered as an abundant small nuclear RNA in the mid-70s but a possible function has only recently been suggested.
Source: RNAcentral